GUUGCCUCUGUUGCCGCCGACGAUUAGCCUCCUUUUUGGCCUAAAAAUGGCAUCGGAGUGACAAUCAAUGAUUUUUUGUCUUCCUAUGAAUUAACUGCAGAAUCUGUCAUCUUUUAUUCACCUUUGGUUCUCGUGUUCGUUUCCUCUUCUCCACUUGUAGAAACAAGUUUGGGUUUAGAAAUCAUUCUCUGGUUCUCAGAGAAUCUAUCUUAAACCAGUAAGUUUGUUUUGUAUCAAUCCCCGUUAAGAUUUUAUAACUUGGUCUUUUUUCUGGGUUUAACUUCAUUCGAUCUAUAGGGUUUUGCAUUGUGACCCUUUAGACCUAAUUUCGAGGUUCUUAUCUUCCGUCAUGUUGCAAUGACUUGUGUGUUUCUUUUUUCUUUAGUGAUAAAUCAAUGGUGAUAAAUCAUAUUUUACUAGAUAAAUCAAUGGUGUUUCUAGAAGGGGGAGAUUU
This 454-nucleotide long non-coding RNA is filed under the name Gossypium barbadense (sea-island cotton). Its description in RNAcentral is "long non-coding RNA (GBAR_LNC003371)". Lineage: Eukaryota; Viridiplantae; Streptophyta; Magnoliopsida; Malvales; Malvaceae. The record is from RNAcentral.